GGGAUUGUGGCUCAGUGGCAGAGUGCUUGCCUCUCAAGUAUGAGGCACUGGGUUCGAUUCUCAGCACCA
Non-coding RNA from Ictidomys tridecemlineatus (thirteen-lined ground squirrel), 69 nucleotides. The record is from Rfam. NCBI's taxonomy places the organism in Eukaryota, Metazoa, Chordata, Mammalia, Rodentia, Sciuridae.